RNAcentral lists this ribosomal RNA (384 nucleotides) under uncultured bacterium. RNAcentral's name for it is "bacterial SSU rRNA". It matches the Rfam family "Bacterial small subunit ribosomal RNA", at positions 93 to 507 of the family's 1533-position model. The record is from RNAcentral.
AAGUGGCGCACGGGUGAGUAACACGUGACUUAUCUACCCUCGAGUGGGGAAUAACUUCGGGAAACCGAGGCUAAUACCGCAUAAUACCCACGGGUCAAAGGAGCAAUUCGCUUGAGGAGGAGGUCGCGGCCGAUUAGUUAGUUGGCGGGGUAAUGGCCCCACCCAAGACGGUGAUCGGUAUCCGGCCUGAGAGGGCGCACGGACACACUGGAACUGAAACACGGUCCAGACUCCUACGGGAGGCAGCAGUGGGGAAUUUUGCGCAAUGGGGGAAACCCUGACGCAGCAACGCCGCGUGGAGGAUGAAGUCUCUUGGGACGUAAACUCCUUUCGAUCGGGACGAUUAUGACGGUACCGGAAGAAGAAGCCCCGGCUAACUUCGUG